CGAACGGGUGAGUAACAACGUGGGCAACCUGCCCAAAAGAGGGGGAUAACACUUGGAAACAGGUGCUAAUACCGCAUAACCAUAGUUACCGCAUGGUAACUAUGUAAAAGGUGGCUAUGCUACCGCUUUUGGAUGGGCCCGCGACGCAUUAGCUAGUUGGUGGGGUAAAGGCUUACCAAGGCAAUGAUGCGUAGCCGAACUGAGAGGUUGAUCGGCCACAUUGGGACUGAGACACGGCCCAAACUCCUACGGGAGGCAGCAG
RNAcentral lists this ribosomal RNA (262 nucleotides) under uncultured bacterium. RNAcentral's name for it is "partial 16S ribosomal RNA". It matches the Rfam family "Bacterial small subunit ribosomal RNA", at positions 99 to 354 of the family's 1533-position model. The record is from RNAcentral.